This 144-nucleotide ribosomal RNA is filed under the name uncultured bacterium. RNAcentral's name for it is "partial 16S ribosomal RNA". It matches the Rfam family "Bacterial small subunit ribosomal RNA", at positions 338 to 474 of the family's 1533-position model. The record is from RNAcentral.
CCUACGGGAGGCAGCAGUGGGGAAUUUUGGACAAUGGGGGAAACCCUGAUCCAGCCAUGCCGCGUGAGUGAAGAAGGCCUUCGGGUUGUAAAGCUCUUUCAGCCGGAACGAAACGGUCACGGCUAAUACCUGUGAUCACUGACG